GCAGCAUGAGACUGGAAGGCCAACAGCCAAAACAAAAAGGUUUGGUGGAAAUUCUCACCAGAAAUAAAGAGGUUGUUUUUGUGAUGAGAACUGCAAAAUGUACAACGACUGCUGUCCUGACCUCCACAGCACCUGCAGUAACAACUUUACAUUACAUUAUUUCACACAAUAUAACUGAAGUGGCAUUUACAGUUGUUUAAAUUUUACAGAUGUGAAAGUGACAUACAGACAAUGAUUUGUUCUCUUUAUUAGAUAUGGUAAUAACUUAUAUUUGCUCUUGAAAUCCUGUAAUAAUGUGCAAUUGUCAGAGGAUGUAAAUCCAAACUCUAUGAAAUGUAUCCUAAUACCGAGACUACUCGUAAAUUAUGAAUUAUUCUCAAUUAUUCUUAUCUUGAAUACUAGAUAGUAUGUGAAUUGAGAGACCACUUCUGGACCUGCAGUUUCUCACCUCAUAUCUCUUUUUUCUGCUUUGAUAGAGUUUCUUAAGAGCGAAUAAUACUGACAUCUACUCUUUUGAGGUCACAAGAAUUGAGCCGCUAUCACCAUGUGACUAAGACAGAAAUCAGCCAAAAGGGACAAACAUAAAUAAAUCCUCAUUGAUGCAUGACUUUUACUAGUUUAAUAUGAGAUCUGAUUAUUUAUAGUGACGGAUCAACAAAAAUUUUGCAUUUGCUAACAAUACUUAACUUUUUGAUUGUGCUUUAAUCUUAAACAUUCAAGCAUUGUAGAUGUGUGAAGCAAACUAUGUAAAGAAUGUGUAAAGAAACAUCAGAUUGUUUAUCUGUUCUAAUGUAUUUCCUUGUUCCUCGUUCAUUUGCACGGAAAGGGGAAAAAACCUACUGUUUUAACAUUGUCUUCAUUUUUGAGAUUCCUGUUUGUUGAUUGCACUGAAAAUUAACACAUGAUGGCUAACUCUUGUCAACCCUAACAAUUAGAAAAUUAAAACAAACCAUUAAAACUGUCA
Long non-coding RNA from Onychostoma macrolepis, 964 nucleotides. RefSeq lists it as uncharacterized. The record is from RefSeq and is a predicted model, not a curated record. NCBI's taxonomy places the organism in Eukaryota, Metazoa, Chordata, Actinopteri, Cypriniformes, Cyprinidae. The transcript is spliced from 2 exons.